Molecule: ribosomal RNA, 2905 nt
Filed under: Enterobacter bugandensis
Lineage: Bacteria; Pseudomonadati; Pseudomonadota; Gammaproteobacteria; Enterobacterales; Enterobacteriaceae
Description: 23S ribosomal RNA
Rfam family: Bacterial large subunit ribosomal RNA
Source: RNAcentral
GGUUAAGCGACUAAGCGUACACGGUGGAUGCCCUGGCAGUCAGAGGCGAUGAAGGACGUGCUAAUCUGCGAAAAGCGACGGCGAGGUGAUAUGAACCUUUGACCCGUCGAUGUCCGAAUGGGGAAACCCAGUGCAAUUCGUUGCACUAUCGUUAACUGAAUACAUAGGUUAACGAGGCGAACCGGGGGAACUGAAACAUCUAAGUACCCCGAGGAAAAGAAAUCAACCGAGAUUCCCCCAGUAGCGGCGAGCGAACGGGGAGCAGCCCGGAGUCUGAAUCAGCUUGUGUGUUAGUGGAAGCGUCUGGAAAGUCGCACGGUACAGGGUGACAGUCCCGUACACGAAAAUGCACAGGUUGUGAACUCGAAGAGUAGGGCGGGACACGUGGUAUCCUGUCUGAAUAUGGGGGGACCAUCCUCCAAGGCUAAAUACUCCUGACUGACCGAUAGUGAACCAGUACCGUGAGGGAAAGGCGAAAAGAACCCCGGCGAGGGGAGUGAAAAAGAACCUGAAACCGUGUACGUACAAGCAGUGGGAGCACCUUCGUGGUGUGACUGCGUACCUUUUGUAUAAUGGGUCAGCGACUUAUAUUCUGUAGCAAGGUUAACCGUAUAGGGGAGCCGCAGGGAAACCGAGUCUUAACUGGGCGUUAAGUUGCAGGGUAUAGACCCGAAACCCGGUGAUCUAGCCAUGGGCAGGUUGAAGGUUGGGUAACACUAACUGGAGGACCGAACCGACUAAUGUUGAAAAAUUAGCGGAUGACCUGUGGCUGGGGGUGAAAGGCCAAUCAAACCGGGAGAUAGCUGGUUCUCCCCGAAAGCUAUUUAGGUAGCGCCUCGUGAACUCAUCUUCGGGGGUAGAGCACUGUUUCGGCUAGGGGGCCAUCCCGGCUUACCAACCCGAUGCAAACUACGAAUACCGAAGAAUGUUAUCACGGGAGACACACGGCGGGUGCUAACGUCCGUCGUGAAGAGGGAAACAACCCAGACCGCCAGCUAAGGUCCCAAAGUCAUGGUUAAGUGGGAAACGAUGUGGGAAGGCACAGACAGCCAGGAUGUUGGCUUAGAAGCAGCCAUCAUUUAAAGAAAGCGUAAUAGCUCACUGGUCGAGUCGGCCUGCGCGGAAGAUGUAACGGGGCUAAACCAUGCACCGAAGCUGCGGCAGCGACGCUUAUGCGUUGUUGGGUAGGGGAGCGUUCUGUAAGCCGUUGAAGGUGUGCUGUGAGGCAUGCUGGAGGUAUCAGAAGUGCGAAUGCUGACAUAAGUAACGAUAAAGCGGGUGAAAAGCCCGCUCGCCGGAAGACCAAGGGUUCCUGUCCAACGUUAAUCGGGGCAGGGUGAGUCGACCCCUAAGGCGAGGCCGAAAGGCGUAGCCGAUGGGAAACAGGUUAAUAUUCCUGUACUUGGUGUUACUGCGAAGGGGGGACGGAGAAGGCUAUGUCAGCCGGGCGACGGUUGUCCCGGUUUAAGCGUGUAGGUGUGUGUUCCAGGCAAAUCCGGUUCACUUUAACACUGAGGCGUGAUGACGAGGCACUACGGUGCUGAAGUGAUAAAUGCCCUGCUUCCAGGAAAAGCCUCUAAGCAUCAGGUAACACGAAAUCGUACCCCAAACCGACACAGGUGGUCAGGUAGAGAAUACCAAGGCGCUUGAGAGAACUCGGGUGAAGGAACUAGGCAAAAUGGUGCCGUAACUUCGGGAGAAGGCACGCUGAUAUGUAGGUGAAGUCCCUGCGGACGGAGCUGAAAUCAGUCGAAGAUACCAGCUGGCUGCAACUGUUUAUUAAAAACACAGCACUGUGCAAACACGAAAGUGGACGUAUACGGUGUGACGCCUGCCCGGUGCCGGAAGGUUAAUUGAUGGGGUUAGCGGCAACGCGAAGCUCUUGAUCGAAGCCCCGGUAAACGGCGGCCGUAACUAUAACGGUCCUAAGGUAGCGAAAUUCCUUGUCGGGUAAGUUCCGACCUGCACGAAUGGCGUAAUGAUGGCCAGGCUGUCUCCACCCGAGACUCAGUGAAAUUGAACUCGCUGUGAAGAUGCAGUGUACCCGCGGCAAGACGGAAAGACCCCGUGAACCUUUACUAUAGCUUGACACUGAACACUGGUCCUUGAUGUGUAGGAUAGGUGGGAGGCUUUGAAGCGUGGACGCCAGUCUGCGUGGAGCCGUCCUUGAAAUACCACCCUUUAAUGGCUGGUGUUCUAACGUGGACCCGUGAUCCGGGUUGCGGACAGUGUCUGGUGGGUAGUUUGACUGGGGCGGUCUCCUCCCAAAGAGUAACGGAGGAGCACGAAGGUUAGCUAAUCCUGGUCGGACAUCAGGAGGUUAGUGCAAUGGCAUAAGCUAGCUUGACUGCGAGAGUGACGGCUCGAGCAGGUGCGAAAGCAGGUCAUAGUGAUCCGGUGGUUCUGAAUGGAAGGGCCAUCGCUCAACGGAUAAAAGGUACUCCGGGGAUAACAGGCUGAUACCGCCCAAGAGUUCAUAUCGACGGCGGUGUUUGGCACCUCGAUGUCGGCUCAUCACAUCCUGGGGCUGAAGUAGGUCCCAAGGGUAUGGCUGUUCGCCAUUUAAAGUGGUACGCGAGCUGGGUUUAGAACGUCGUGAGACAGUUCGGUCCCUAUCUGCCGUGGGCGCUGGAGAAUUGAGGGGGGCUGCUCCUAGUACGAGAGGACCGGAGUGGACGCAUCACUGGUGUUCGGGUUGUCAUGCCAAUGGCACUGCCCGGUAGCUAAAUGCGGAAGAGAUAAGUGCUGAAAGCAUCUAAGCACGAAACUUGCCCCGAGAUGAGUUCUCCCUGAGACUUUAAGUCUCCUGAAGGAACGUUGAAGACGACGACGUUGAUAGGCCGGGUGUGUAAGCGCAGCGAUGCGUUGAGCUAACCGGUACUAAUGAACCGUGAGGCUUAACCUU